RNAcentral lists this ribosomal RNA (252 nucleotides) under uncultured bacterium. RNAcentral describes it as "partial 16S ribosomal RNA". It matches the Rfam family "Bacterial small subunit ribosomal RNA", at positions 524 to 776 of the family's 1533-position model. The record is from RNAcentral.
UACGUAGGGGGCAAGCGUUGUCCGGAAUCAUUGGGCGUAAAGAGCGCGUAGGCGGCCCUGUAAGUCCGCUGUGAAAGUCAAGGGCUCAACCCUUGGAUGCCGGUGGAUACUGCAGGGCUAGAGUCCGGAAGAGGCGAGUGGAAUUCCUGGUGUAGCGGUGAAAUGCGCAGAUAUCAGGAGGAACACCGAUGGCGAAGGCAGCUCGCUGGGACGGUACUGACGCUGAGGCGCGAAAGCGUGGGAGCAAACAGG